GGGUACACCUCACGACCCAUGUGGUCUUGUUGAUCCAUUUGCACUUUUAAUUUCAUUUGGUGGAUGAAUAUUGGUCACAUGAAUGUGUAGGAAAAAGCAUGUUUAAUUAUUCCUUUGUUUUGCAUUAAUUUUCAUACUAGGAUUAGUUGCUUUUUAGUUUCUCUAAUUUAGUUUUGCAUUUAAUUUAAUUUAACUGUAUU
RNAcentral lists this long non-coding RNA (200 nucleotides) under Vigna radiata. RNAcentral's name for it is "long non-coding RNA (VRAD_LNC017312)". Lineage: Eukaryota; Viridiplantae; Streptophyta; Magnoliopsida; Fabales; Fabaceae. The record is from RNAcentral.